Molecule: long non-coding RNA, 175 nt
Organism: Arachis duranensis
Lineage: Eukaryota; Viridiplantae; Streptophyta; Magnoliopsida; Fabales; Fabaceae
Exons: 3
Source: RefSeq, a predicted model, not a curated record
AACUAGGGAAGUGAUGAUCCUUCCUCUCAAGGACGCACAGAACAGAGUAGUGUAAACCAGCCGUCUCAGAGCAUGUUGACUCCGACUGAUUCGAAUAUGAUGGUUGUUAGGGAACAAACGCCGUCGGAAGCGCUUGCAAUAGUCCCGAUCCAGUUUUUUGUGCCGGCAUCCCAAC